RNAcentral lists this ribosomal RNA (744 nucleotides) under uncultured bacterium. RNAcentral describes it as "bacterial SSU rRNA". It matches the Rfam family "Bacterial small subunit ribosomal RNA", at positions 8 to 796 of the family's 1533-position model. The record is from RNAcentral.
AGAGUUUGAUCCUGGCUCAGGAUGAACGCUGGCGGUAUGCUUAACACAUGCAAGUCGAACGAAAUCUUUCGGGAUUUAGUGGCAGACGGGUGAGUAACGCGUGGGAACAUGCCCUUCGGUUCGGAAUAACCAAUGGAAACGUUGGCUAAUACCGGAUACGCCCUUUUGGGGAAAGGUUUACUGCCGAGGGAUUGGCCCGCGUCCGAUUAGCUUGUUGGUGAGGUAACGGCUCACCAAGGCGACGAUCGGUAGCUGGUCUGAGAGGAUGAUCAGCCACACUGGGACUGAGACACGGCCCAGACUCCUACGGGAGGCAGCAGUGGGGAAUAUUGGACAAUGGGGGCAACCCUGAUCCAGCCAUGCCGCGUGAGUGAUGAAGGCCUUAGGGUUGUAAAGCUCUUUCGCACGCGACGAUAAUGACGGUAGCGUGAGAAGAAGCCCCGGCUAACUUCGUGCCAGCAGCCGCGGUAAUACGAAGGGGGCUAGCGUUGCUCGGAAUCACUGGGCGUAAAGCGCGCGUAGGCGGAUCUUUAAGUCAGGGGUGAAAUCCCGGGGCUCAACCCCGGAACUGCCUUUGAUACUGGGGAUCUUGAGUUCGAGAGAGGUUGGUGGAACUGCGAGUGUAGAGGUGAAAUUCGUAGAUAUUCGCAAGAACACCAGUGGCGAAGGCGGCCAACUGGCUCGACACUGACGCUGAGGCGCGAAAGCGUGGGGAGCAAACAGGAUUAGAUACCCUAGUAGUCC